Long non-coding RNA from Cairina moschata (Muscovy duck), 2022 nucleotides. The record is from Ensembl. NCBI's taxonomy places the organism in Eukaryota, Metazoa, Chordata, Aves, Anseriformes, Anatidae.
CAGCUGACGAGCUAAUAAACAUCCAGCUAUGUGGGAAUAAAAUGGGCUAACUUAGUCCAAGUGGAUUUUAAAUAUUCAUCGCAUUAAGUAGGGACAAAGUCUUCCUUUUUAGAGAUUUUUUUUUCCAUUUGAUGUCAAUGCAUCCAGUCAGGAAGGUAAAGACCAAUGAAGGGAUCAUCAAAUGAAGGGAGAGAAGGAAAAUGUAUGCCAGUACAGAUUUUUUUCAUAUAUGGAAACCUAUGUAUUUUUGUCUUUAUUUUGGCUUAACACAGCGGCUUCCUGCUUAAUGUGGCAGGAAGUAUGGGUCCUGGAACGGUCAGCAUAGCGUUAAAAGCACAAUAAAUAGUUCAUAAUAAAGAAUUUACCUGGGGUUAAAGACCACUCUUCUCUGACUAAGAGCACCUGGAGAAGGCCAGGGCGCCUUCCUGCCUGGCUGCAGAGCCUGGGGCCGUGCCCAGAGCACUUGUGCCACCUGUGCCCAGAGGCCCUGGAGCAGUGGCCUCCCCACAGGCGCCUGUGUGGCUCCUCUGGGAUGGGGCUACAUGGAGGGCACUGGGUCUGCUCGUAGAGGAGCAGCAGAGCCCGAGGAAGCGAGUGCCUCCAGCUCCGUGCUGCAUCCCUGGAGGCAUGCACAGCCCAGAGCUUGUCAUCCACGCUCAUCUCCAAGUCCCCGAAGGAGACCUUGGGGCUACAGACUUAAAAGCUCUGGAUUUUGAUUUACUCCAAAUGAAAGUAAACAAGCUUCAGAGUAAGUAAGAAUCAGACCUCGAAUCCCACUAGGUUUGGCCCUCUCACAAGGAAUUUCCAUGCUUAUGUAGCAUGUUCUUCUGCCUCGUUCUUCUCACUUAAAUUCUAUUUCACAAUCCUAUGUGCCAGUGCAUUUUAGACCUCUCGCACAUCUGAUCUCUCUUAUCUUACUUUCAUUUUGCAAAGUAGUAGUUCACUAUGUUCACUUUCUAACGGUUUAAACAAGGAAACUCUAAGGUGUAGAAAGGCUAAGAUCACAAUCCUCAAAAGUUUAUUUGUAACUCUCAUCCUAUUUUUCUACCUCAUUCUGUAUUCAACACCUUUUCUUUCUUGUUACAUUUGUCUUUGAUCCUGGCUCAAGUCUCUCACAGUCUGUUUUACUUGGCUGUGAAGAACCAUGCCCAUAUGUAGCAUUGAGGCUGAAAGAAACUACAGAGCUGUAACUGGAGUGGGGCUGGAGAGGGGCUGCCAAAGCAAACUUAGUGCUGCCAAAAGAAUUCUCUUCUGAAGAAUAUUGCGUUUCUCGAUAGUGCCUGGUUUAUAGCUCAAACUAGGGUUAAGAAUAGCAUUGAAAGUCUGAAAUGCAGAUGGGAUGGGGCUAAAGAAGGUUUGGCAAAGGCGAAAUAAGUCUGACAAGAUAGUUUUUCUCCUAGUAAAAUAUUACUAGGGUCUGGACUGAACAGUGCCACUGACCUUUAGCUCAGCCUAGGGUUUAGGGUCAGGGCUGGUGGAAAGACCAGAGCUCCAGCUGGAGCAGAGCUGCCAAAGAAAAACAAUGGCUGCAAAGAGAUUAUCCCCCAGGACUCUUGCCAGAGUCCAGGCAAGUGCUGCAGUGGCUUUUUAGGGCUCAAUUAGGUUUAGGGUUAAGCUUGGAAAAAAAUCUCAAGGCUCCAGCUGGGCUGAGGCUGGAAAGAAGCUGCCAAUGGAGAAUUAGUUCAUCCAAAAGUUUACCCGCAGGGAAUGUGUAAUCUCUAGAUGGGCUGGAGUGCCCUUGCAAGGCCCUGCAUUGAGCAGAACUAGGAUUAGGGCUGGAAACAUGCAUUCCUCCAGGCCCUGGAGCGUGUCCAGGGCAGGGCUAUGGAGCUGGUGCAGGGCCUGGAGCACAAGGCCUGCGAGAAGCGGCUGAGGGAGCUGGGGGUGGUUGCUCUGGAGGAGGCUCAGGGGAGACCUCAUUGCUCUCUGCAGCUGCCUGAAAGGAGGUGUGGGGAGCUGGGGUCGGCCUCCUCUCACAGGUAACUGGUGAUAGGAUCAGAGGGAAUGGCCUCAAGCUGUGCC